RNAcentral lists this long non-coding RNA (72 nucleotides) under Crocodylus porosus (Australian saltwater crocodile). RNAcentral describes it as "Mammalian CPEB3 ribozyme (ENSCPRG00005011910.1)". It matches the Rfam family "Mammalian CPEB3 ribozyme". From Rfam's summary of the family: The mammalian CPEB3 ribozyme is a self cleaving RNA located in the second intron of the CPEB3 gene which belongs to a family of genes regulating messenger RNA polyadenylation. This ribozyme is highly conserved and found only in mammals. Lineage: Eukaryota; Metazoa; Chordata; Crocodylia; Crocodylidae. The record is from Rfam by way of RNAcentral.
CAAGUUUAAAACCAUAGCAGAAGUGCUCACUUUGUGGACCUGUCAGAUUCCAACAAAUCUGCAAAUUCUGCU